AAUGAACGUUGGCGGCGUGGAUUAGGCAUGCAAGUCGUGCGAGAAGUUCUUUUUGCUUGCAUUGAGAACGGACAGCGGCGAAAGGGAGAGUAACGCGUGGUUACGUGCCCAGGGGUCCAGGAUAGCGUUGGGAAACUGGCGGUAAUACUGGAUGAUAUCUUUGGAUCAAAGGUGAGAUUCCGCCCUUGGAUUGGACCGCGUACUAUUAGCUAGUUGGUGGGGUAAUGGCCUACCAAGGCAUCGAUGGUUACCGGGUGUGAGAGCAUGGCCCGGCUCACUGGGACUGAGACACUGCCCAGACACCUACGGGUGGCUGCAGUCGAGAAUCUUCGGCAAUGGACGCAAGUCUGACCGAGCGACGCCGCGUGCGGGAUGAAGGCCCUCGGGUUGUAAACCGCUGUCAGUUGGGAGGAAAGAGGUGUGAAGAGCAUCUCUUGACCGAUCUUCAGAGGAAGGGCGGGCUAAGUUCG
RNAcentral lists this ribosomal RNA (470 nucleotides) under uncultured Planctomycetaceae bacterium. RNAcentral's name for it is "bacterial SSU rRNA". It matches the Rfam family "Bacterial small subunit ribosomal RNA", at positions 29 to 505 of the family's 1533-position model. Lineage: Bacteria; Pseudomonadati; Planctomycetota; Planctomycetia; Planctomycetales; Planctomycetaceae. The record is from RNAcentral.